Molecule: transfer RNA, 91 nt
Filed under: Leucothrix pacifica
Lineage: Bacteria; Pseudomonadati; Pseudomonadota; Gammaproteobacteria; Thiotrichales; Thiotrichaceae
Description: tRNA-Ser
Rfam family: tRNA
About the family: Transfer RNA (tRNA) molecules are approximately 80 nucleotides in length. Their secondary structure includes four short double-helical elements and three loops (D, anti-codon, and T loops).
Source: RNAcentral
GGAGAGAUGGCAGAGUGGUCGAAUGCACCGGUCUUGAAAACCGGCGUGGGUUUGUAGCCCACCCAGGGUUCGAAUCCCUGUCUCUCCGCCA